This 434-nucleotide ribosomal RNA is filed under the name uncultured bacterium. RNAcentral describes it as "partial 16S ribosomal RNA". It matches the Rfam family "Bacterial small subunit ribosomal RNA", at positions 29 to 507 of the family's 1533-position model. The record is from RNAcentral.
AGCGAACGCUGGCGGCAGGCCUAACACAUGCAAGUCGAACGAACCUUUCGGGGUUAGUGGCGGACGGGUGAGUAACACGUGGGAACGUGCCUUUAGGUUCGGAAUAACUCAGGGAAACUUGUGCUAAUACCGCAUGUGCCCUUCGGGGGAAAGAUUAAUCGCCUUUAGAGCGGCCCGCGGCUGAUUAGCUAGUUGGGUGAGGUAAUGGCCCACCAAGGCGACGAUCAGUGGCUGGUCUGCGAGGAGGAUCAGCCACCUUGGGACUGAGACACGGCCCACACGCCUACGGGAGGCAGCAGGGGGGAAUCGUGGGGAAUGGGCGGAAGCCUGACGCAGCCAUGCCGCGUGAAUGAUGAAGGUCUUAGGAUUGUAAAAUUCUUUCACCGGGGACGAUAAUGACGGUACCCGGAGAAGAAGCCCCGGCUAACUUCGUG